RNAcentral lists this microRNA precursor (108 nucleotides) under Populus trichocarpa (black cottonwood). RNAcentral's name for it is "miR6435 stem-loop (ptc-MIR6435)". The record is from miRBase by way of RNAcentral. Lineage: Eukaryota; Viridiplantae; Streptophyta; Magnoliopsida; Malpighiales; Salicaceae.
UAGAAGUGAAUAAUGGAGACACUCUAGUUGUCAAUGUUGUCAACAAAGCCCGAUAUAACGUCACCAUUCAUUGGUAAAUAGAUUGUCUUCCAUAUUUCAGCUUUUCUA